AUGCUGCUCUCCAGCCUGCUGUGGGUGUUCUUGACCAUCAUCUACUCUGGAUACACUGUGGCCCAAAAAGUGACUCAAGUUCAGCCUGCUGCAUCGAGGCCAGAGGGGAAAGCAGUCACUCUGAACUGCUCCUAUGAGACAAGUGUACGCUUUUAUGAUUUGUUUUGGUACCAGCAACUUCUCAGUGGAGAGAUGGUUCUACUUAUUCAUCAGGGUUACUCUGGUGAUCAUGCAAAUACUGGACACUAUUCUGUCGAUUUUCAGAAAGCAGCUAAGACAAUCACCCUCACCAUUUCAGCCUUACAGAUUGAAGAUUCUGCAAAGUGUCUCUGUGCUCUUUCAGAACACACAAUAGUUGAAGUGACAGUAAAAGCUGAACAAAAACUCAGGAGCUCUGUAAGAGACAGGCCCUGCUCCAGGAGUCUAGCUAAGACUCACACCUGCAAAUCCCAGAUCAGAAGGGAGCAUGGUGGUUGCUUCAUCUGUGGUCUGGAUCAGAAGAUUAAGUUCUAA
Molecule: non-coding RNA, 513 nt
Organism: Heterocephalus glaber (naked mole-rat)
Lineage: Eukaryota; Metazoa; Chordata; Mammalia; Rodentia; Bathyergidae
Source: the annotation of a RefSeq genome assembly